UCCGUAGGGUGCAAGCGUUGUCCGGAAUUAUUGGGCGUAAAGAGCUCGUAGGCGGUCUGUCGCGUCUGCUGUGAAAACCUGGGGCUUAACCCCGGGCCUGCAGUGGGUACGGGCAGACUAGAGUGCGGUAGGGGAGACUGGAAUUCCUGGUGUAGCGGUGAAAUGCGCAGAUAUCAGGAGGAACACCGGUGGCGAAGGCGGUUCUCUGGGCAUUACCUGACGCUGAGGAGCGAAAGUGUGGGGAGCGAACAGG
RNAcentral lists this ribosomal RNA (253 nucleotides) under uncultured bacterium. RNAcentral describes it as "partial 16S ribosomal RNA". It matches the Rfam family "Bacterial small subunit ribosomal RNA", at positions 524 to 776 of the family's 1533-position model. The record is from RNAcentral.